This 749-nucleotide ribosomal RNA is filed under the name uncultured bacterium. RNAcentral's name for it is "bacterial SSU rRNA". It matches the Rfam family "Archaeal small subunit ribosomal RNA", at positions 526 to 1277 of the family's 1478-position model. The record is from RNAcentral.
CGGUUUUGUAAAUCUCCAGAUAAAGCCUGAAGCUUAACUCCAGAAAGUCUGAAGAGACUGCAAGACUUGAGAUCGGGUGAGGUUAAACGUACUUUCAGGGUAGGGGUAAAAUCCUGUAAUCCCGGAAGGACGACCAGUGGCGAAAGCGUUUAACUAGAACGAAUCUGACGGUAAGGAACGAAGGCUAGGGUAGCAAACCGGAUUAGAUACCCGGGUAGUCCUAGCUGUAAACAUUGCCCAUUUGAUGUUGCUUUCCCGUUGAGGGAAGGCAGUGUCGGAGCGAAGGUGUUAAAUGGGCCGCUUGGGAAGUAUGGUCGCAAGACUGAAACUUAAAGGAAUUGGCGGGGGAGCACCGCAACGGGAGGAAUGUGCGGUUUAAUUGGAUUCAACGCCGGAAAACUCACCGGGAACGACCUGUGCAUGAGAGUCAACUUGACGAGCUUACUCGAUAGCAGGAGAGGUGGUGCAUGGCCGUCGUCAGCUCGUACCGUAGGGCGUUCACUUAAGUGUGAUAACGAGCGAGACCCACAUCUUUAAUUGCAAAUGUAUAUGGGAAUAUGCAUGCACUUUAGAGAAACCGCCAGCGCUAAGCUGGAGGAAGGAGUGGUCGACGGCAGGUCAGUACGCCCCGAAUUUCCCGGGCUACACGCGCAUUACAAAGAACGGGACAAUACGUUGCAACCUCGAAAGAGGGAGCCAAUCGCGAAACCCGUCCAUAGUUAGGAUUGAGGGCUGUAACUCGCCCUCAU